CCCUCGACUCGCGACCGAGAAGCAGUCGCUCCGCCCUGCUCGAAGCAGUCGCUUGAGAAGCCCUAAAUCUGCGAACACAAGUCAAGUUCGAUUUUAUUUCCCGAGUUUUUAUGUUCGCAUCUUUGUUUUGGGGAGAAAGCUUGGCCUAAAUCUGCGAUCAGAAGUUCACUGGUUUAUUGCUUCUGAUUCUAAGCGCAGCAACGCGAGAAGUGAAACUGCGACUGUCUCUCUCUCUACCCUUGUCCGGUUUUUCCGUUCUUGGCAAAUUCGAAGAUGAGCCCACUUCUGGAUACAUGAUCUUAGGCCGACCCGUCAAGUCGAAGCCCGACGUAAUCUCGCUGCUUCGCUCCACCGAGCUGUUGAAUCGCUUGUGUCCGGGGGGUUUCAAGAUUUUCCGGGGUGGCAAUCGCCUGUUCCGUCAUUGCAGACUUCCAGGCGAGAAGAAAUGUGCCCACAAUAAUCACCCCAACACCGAACCGCCUCCUUUGUCCUCUCUCGAAAGCAAUCUUUGUUAUGGAUUGAUGAAGGCAUGAGUUGAAGAAAUCCUUGUUGUCCCAACUGCUCAACAGUGCUUCCAUGGAUGGCAAAAGCUCAUCUGAGUUGAGCCUUCCCUGGUUCUGGAUUACUGAGUAUUUGGCAAAAUUCAAGCAAGUUAAGCCAUCCCUCUUGCAUGGUAUCAUUAAAGCGGCUCCAGAGUUACCUGCUCACUUGGGAAAAAUAUGGAGGAAGUUGUUUCUUUGAGAUGCUUGGAGGAGUUAUGUGGCCCUAGAAAUGGAAGCAUGAACAGUACUUGGUCCUCAUUGGGAUCAAAGGCGAAAAUUGAUACAUCAAAGAGCUGCAAAAAUGUCCGACAGUAAAUGUUCCAUAAUCUGAAAGAUACAAUACUUGCAGGUACCCAUCCACAUGCUGAUUUUUAAAAAAAGAGGGUAGAUUGGCAGAUGUUUGUCAUUUGAAUAGGACCGUCAUUCAUAAUGGUGGACAUACUGGACUUACAUGUGCGCCUGAUGUGGGAGACACAUAUGCUCCUAACACAGUUGAUGAACCAAACUUGGUUUCUCGAUCCACCAAUCAUGUGGAGCCCUUGGUAGGAGAUGACGGUAUUAGGAAGUGUCUUCCCACGAAGAGGAACCAUAUUGAUGUUCAUGCUGAAAAUAUUGAAACGAAUUGUAAUGAGGAUCAACAUUAUGAUGCUCAUUCAGAUGCUAAAAGGGCCAAACAGCAAGAUUCUGAUGAAAUAAAGGACAGAGAAAAAUCACCAGUUGUUCUAACUGGAAGAUUAGGUUUCGAGAGAAAUGAUGGAUGUUCUGAUAGAGAGGUGGCUAACCUUGUCAAGGAUCAUAUGGGGGCUGUGGAUGACGACCAGUCGUUAGAGGGAGAUGGGAGGCAUUAUGUUCAGCCAAGGACUUGUGAUGUACUUUCCGAUGGAAUGGAGUGGGGUUUUCCGUUGAUGAUCCCAAACGCGUCCAUGACUCCAUAGAGAAAACAAAGAACAGUGAAUCAGCUCGAGCAUCGGAAUGGGGGCAGACUUUUACCAGUCAUGCAGAAGAUUACGUGGUCCACGAUGUCGGGGAGGAUAUGUCCAGCGAUGGUGAUGAAUAUAGAAAAGAGCAGACAGCAUCCUAUAACAUUAAUGUUUUCAAAAACACAUUAUGGUGAAUUAUAUGAUCCAAUUUACACGAUCCAAUGUCCGGGAUUUGAGGAUUCAUGAUGUUUUCUUUACGAAAAAGCAAUAACUUGUUAGUACUGUCUCGUCAAUAAUCAUUCAUGUUGUCUCGUCAAUAACUUUUUAUACAUUAGUUGCUGAAUAAUUUUGAUGUUCACUUUCUUGCCUAAAUUCUUCUCCAAUUU
Long non-coding RNA from Eucalyptus grandis, 1848 nucleotides. RefSeq lists it as uncharacterized. The transcript has 4 exons. The record is from RefSeq and is a predicted model, not a curated record. NCBI's taxonomy places the organism in Eukaryota, Viridiplantae, Streptophyta, Magnoliopsida, Myrtales, Myrtaceae.